This 93-nucleotide ribosomal RNA is filed under the name Streptomyces sp. HNM0574. Lineage: Bacteria; Bacillati; Actinomycetota; Actinomycetes; Kitasatosporales; Streptomycetaceae. The record is from RNAcentral.
ACGCCCGGUUACAUUCCGAACCCGGAAGCUAAGCCUUUCAGCGCCGAUGGUACUGCAUGCGGGAGCGUGUGGGAGAGUAGGACGCCGCCGAAC